AUGAAGUCAGGUGAUAAGAAGGCCAUGAGAGGUGACAGUGAUCAGAUCAUACACCUUGAUUACAGAGACUUUGGGCGUUGGAAGGUCGAAAAAUUUGCUCGUUACGUUGACAACCUAUUGCUCGCCUGUCGUAAUGUUGACUUGCACACAUUCCGUCUGCAUUGGGAUCCUCAUGUUCCCCUGAACUGCAAUGAUGUCAGAAAGUGGAUUCGCUACGCUGUGAAUCAUAAAGUUAAAGUGCUUGACGUGGAGCUUUGCAUGUAUGAUAAGACUAAUUUACCUCCUGGCAUUUUCACCUGCCGCUCACUUGAGGAUCUAAAUUUGCAGUGGAGUGGAGCUCCUUUUCGAGAUUAUGAGCAUAAGGGACUUGUGCUGCCUGACAUAAUCAAGCUUCCUUCUCUUAGAAAACUGACUCUACGCGAUGUGGAAGUGCAUGAGCUUCCUCUGGAGAGUUUCAUUGCCCGGAGCCCUGGCCUAGAAGACUUGCAUCUGAUAGACUCUGCAGUGUGUCUUGAGCACAUAAAAUCAAAAGCGCUAAGAAGGCUAACCAUUGAUGGUUCCAUGUAUGGACCGGAUAGAAUGACAAUUUCUGCUCCUAAUCUCAUUAGCUUUGAGUGCACCGGUUUUUCACUGGAAGAUAUUGUUUGGAGAGACCAGCCAUCGCUAGAGAGUGCACACAUAGAUACUUGUGGGCGUACAUUUGGUGGUGAAUCUAGGUUUACAGGAGUUCUUGUGCAUGCCAAAAAACUUGCACUAUUUGGUUGUGACAUAAAGGUUAUGUUGGAAAAUGAGCUGCCUACAUGUUCAGUGUUUGAGAACCUUGUAACUCUUGAAAUUGGUGAAUGGCACUUGACCAAGGACUUCUACGUUUUGCUUCGCUUCCUCCAGCUUUCACCAAGACUAGAAGAGCUCACUCUGAUGCAUAAACAGCUUGACGAAGCAGAAGAAACAGAAGGCAUGCCUACUGAUGGAAUGACCUUCCAGUGUCCACUCCUUAAAAGUGUCACCAUACAGUAUUCAGAGGGUGACGAUGGAAUUGACAAGCUGGUGGAUGUCCUGGUAGCGAAUGGUAUCAGUUCGGACAAGAUAAGUGUAACUUCCUACGAAGAUAUCAAAAAGAGGGCCUUUGCUGAGGAGGCACGCGCCGAAGAGGAGCGUCCAAAGAAGAAGAGGGCGAAGAAAAAUCCAGACUGGGAAGAUGAUGACUCCGACGAACAGAGUAACCCUGAUGAUCCUAGCGGUGACGAGUAUGAUCCUGAUGACUUUUGA
RNAcentral lists this ribosomal RNA (1269 nucleotides) under Triticum aestivum (bread wheat). RNAcentral describes it as "partial small subunit ribosomal RNA". Lineage: Eukaryota; Viridiplantae; Streptophyta; Magnoliopsida; Poales; Poaceae. The record is from RNAcentral.